Paramisgurnus dabryanus is the source of this 634-nucleotide non-coding RNA. NCBI's taxonomy places the organism in Eukaryota, Metazoa, Chordata, Actinopteri, Cypriniformes, Cobitidae. The record is from RefSeq and is a predicted model, not a curated record.
GUUUUUAGGGCAGUUUAUUAAAGAAGACCUGACAUGGAUAUGAUUCCCAAUGAGAAACGACUGCUAAUACUUAUAUAAAUUCAUUACAGAAGGACCCUACCAGACUAUAUUUGAAUACGGCAUACCCAUGAAUUCUAGAACUGUUAUUCCUUAACCCAGUUUGGAGGAUAAGAGCUUACCAACUAGUUAUAAAUAUGCUGAGGUGAUGUAUUGCAAAAUAGCCAACAUACAACAAUUAAAGGAUAAUUGCAGACUACAUCCUGAUGAAGAUACGGAUGACCCUCUGUCUGGUCAACAGGAGUUUAAAUAUGGACGGGACAGUGAUGUGGCAGCUCUUCCCUGGCUCAUUCACCUCUUGCCUUCAUUUGUGAAAGGAGGAAAGACUGGAGAGGGUCAAUGUGCAACUGAAGCUACUGAUUGUGCUGUGUGAUGAGCAUCAAUCCAUGCUUUGAGGGGGAUGGAUCAGCACAGCCCUGCCUGCUCUGCGUUGGGAACAGAAGUUGCAUCCAGAAUUUUUGCAUCAUUCUGGACCAAAAAGCCAUUCCCUCCAUGAUGAAGACCACUGAUGCAGCCUUCCACUACAUCAUGAGUAAAACAACUACAGAACUAAAUACCAGGUUGGAACGUAUUUAAG